Molecule: ribosomal RNA, 967 nt
Filed under: uncultured marine bacterium
Lineage: Bacteria
Description: bacterial SSU rRNA
Rfam family: Bacterial small subunit ribosomal RNA
Source: RNAcentral
UGCAAGUCGAACGGCAGCAUGUUGAUUCUUCGGAAUUGAUGAUGGCGAGUGGCGGACGGGUGGGUAAUGCGUAGGAAUCUACCCUAAAGUGGGGAAUAACCUAGGGAAACUUAGGCUAAUACCGCAUAAUCUUUUAGAAGCAAAGCUGGGGACCUUCGGGCCUGGCGCUUUAGGAUGAGCCUACGUCAGAUUAGCUUGUUGGUGGGGUAAUGGCCUACCAAGGCAACGAUCUGUAGCUGGUCUGAGAGGAUGAUCAGCCACACUGGGACUGAGACACGGCCCAGACUCCUACGGGGGGCAGCAGUGGGGAAUAUUGGACAAUGGGCGAAAGCCUGAUCCAGCAAUGCCGCGUGUGUGAUGAAGGCCUUCGGGUCGUAAAGCACUUUCAGUUGGGAAGAGGGCUUAUUGGUUAAUACCCAAUAAGCUGACGUUACCUUCAAAAGAAGCACCGGCUAACUCUGUGCCAGCAGCCGCGGUAAUACAGAGGGUGCGAGCGUUAAUCGGAAUUACUGGGCGUAAAGGGCACGUAGGUUGGUAUUUAAGUCAGAUGUGAAAUCCUCAAGCUCAACUUGAGAACUGCAUUUGAAGCUGAAUAUCUAGAGUUUGGUAGAGGGAAGUGGAAUUUCCGAUGUAGCGGUGAAAUGCAUAGAUAUCGGAAGGAACACCAGUGGCGAAGGCGGCUUCCUGGACCAAUACUGACACUGAGGUGCGAAAGCGUGGGUAGCAAACAGGAUUAGAUACCCUGGUAGUCCACGCCGUAAACGAUGAGAACUAGGCGUUGGGAGUAAUCUCAGUGCCGCAGCUAACGCAUCAAGUUCUCCGCCUGGGGAGUACGGCCGCAAGGUUGAAACUUAAAGGAAUUGACGGGGGCCCGCACAAGCGGUGGAGCAUGUGGUUUAAUUCGAUGCAACGCGAAAAACCUUACCUACCCUUGACAUACUCGGAACUCUUUAGCGAUAAAGAGGUG